GAGGGUACAGCUCAGUGGUAGAGCAUGUGCUCAGCAUGCACGAGGCCCUGGGUUCAGUCCCCAGUACCUCCG
RNAcentral lists this transfer RNA (72 nucleotides) under Camelus bactrianus (Bactrian camel). It matches the Rfam family "tRNA". From Rfam's summary of the family: Transfer RNA (tRNA) molecules are approximately 80 nucleotides in length. Their secondary structure includes four short double-helical elements and three loops (D, anti-codon, and T loops). RNAcentral also lists the same sequence under 1 other name. Lineage: Eukaryota; Metazoa; Chordata; Mammalia; Artiodactyla; Camelidae. The record is from Rfam by way of RNAcentral.